This 495-nucleotide ribosomal RNA is filed under the name uncultured bacterium. Its description in RNAcentral is "bacterial SSU rRNA". It matches the Rfam family "Bacterial small subunit ribosomal RNA", at positions 28 to 521 of the family's 1533-position model. The record is from RNAcentral.
GACGAACGCUGGCGGCGUGCCUAACACAUGCAAGUCGAGCGAUGAAGUUCUUCGGAACGGAUUAGCGGCGGACGGGUGAGUAACGCGUGAGCAAUCUGCCUUACACAAAGGGAUAGCCUCGGGAAACUGGGAUUAAUACCAUAUGACACUUGGUAAUCGCAUGAGGACCAAGUCAAAGAUUUUAUCGGUGUAAGAUGAGCUCGCGUCUGAUUAGCUAGUUGGUGGGGUAAAGGCCUACCAAGGCGACGAUCAGUAGCUGGUCUGAGAGGACGACCAGCCACACUGGGACUGAGACACGGCCCAGACUCCUACGGGAGGCAGCAGUGGGGAAUUUUGGACAAUGGGCGAAAGCCUGAUCCAGCCAUGCCGCGUGCAGGAAGAAGGCCUCGGUUGUAACUAGCUUAGUCUAGAAAAGGGUAGGCGAGGUAAUACCUCGUGCUUGUAUGGUACUGGAAGAAUAAGACACCGGCGUAACUACGUGCCAGCAGCCGCGGU